GUCAAUCUUAUGCCGUACAUACAAGUCUAUCUCCUUAUGCUUAACCUAGUAGUUUAUAAUGUCAAUAAUGCUACUAUCAUUCCACACAACCCUAAGGUUAUCCUACAAAGUCCUACUACCAAGUACAUGGAAAUAAAUUAGUUGCACUGUAUUAAACCCUAAUCUAUCUUUAACUAUUUUACACAACUCAAAAUACAACAUCGUACCUGGAUACUCUUUAAGCCUCACCAUCUUACCACCUAAAUACUUAACAUGGGGAUCAUGUACAAAUUUACCCCCAACAUGCAAGUUGAUAUAGUAUUCCUCUUCUACAG
This 314-nucleotide long non-coding RNA is filed under the name Gossypium barbadense (sea-island cotton). RNAcentral describes it as "long non-coding RNA (GBAR_LNC020873)". Lineage: Eukaryota; Viridiplantae; Streptophyta; Magnoliopsida; Malvales; Malvaceae. The record is from RNAcentral.